CCAGCAGCCGCGGUAAUUCCUAUUGUUCUACCCUCAAUCCUUUCUGAUGGAGUUCUUUGAUAUGAUAGUCAGCCAAUACGGGAGUAUCCAUAACUGCGCCCGGAAGUUGGGCAUCAACCACGAACAAUUCCACCGGCAGCUCCGGUCCGGCUCGGCGCCGUUCCUCAAUGCCAUCGCCGACAACUGCCGCAUAUCCCGGCAGGAAGUGCGGUGGGAGUUCAAAUUUUACCGCGAACAGAUAGAGACAUGAGAGAUAAGUUCACACACGAAGAGGACCGGAAGCUCGUCGCCCUGGUCAAUCAGUACCGCAGCAAGCAAGGCAGCCAAAUCCAUUGGGACCGCAUCCCGGUAGGCAAAUACUGGAGGACCCAAUCCUCCCUCACCGGACGCUGGAAUCGGUACGUCAAGCAUCAGGUAAUUAUGAAGGACGGACGCUACGUCCUUCCCUCGACGCUGUUCAAUCAAG
This 466-nucleotide ribosomal RNA is filed under the name uncultured eukaryote. Its description in RNAcentral is "partial small subunit ribosomal RNA". The record is from RNAcentral.